GACAGCACUUCAGGCAGGUCACUGCUGCAGGUCAGACCUGACAGUUAUAACCCCGUUUGUUCCGUUGCACUUUUCCUGACUGCAAAGAAAUACAUGCUGCUUCUGCAAUCCAGGUCGUAACCGUUUACAACACUAUCCGUGCCGCACCUGGAUGUCUUUGCUGACCUUUACUGUGCCUUAAUAAAUCAAUCGGGGGAAUGCGAGGCAUAAUGCUUUCAAAGAUAGAGGACAAGCAUUUCCACCUGCCAGAGACAGAGCCUGAGGCUGGCGCCCUCACAGCCCUGCUGGAGCCCAGCCAGGGCAGCAGUUCACUCCCUCACCAGCUCUUACUGCAAGAUGGCAGCAGAUGCCGCCGAGGAGCAAAUGGGCGGAUCCCGGGACUCUGAAGACACUGCAGGCCUGCCGGCUUCCAAAAACCAUGUGUCUAUCAGGUUCUUUGGGACUUUAACCUUUAUCUGCUUGGCUAUCUCUCCUGGGUUGUGGAGUAUCCCUUCUCAUCUGUCACCAUACUGCAGCCACCGGACACUACUUCUAAGAGGAAUACACAAGAAAUUUCUAGAGACACAUGAGAACACCGAUGGUUAAAAAAAAUUUUUUUUUGUUUUAUGCUUUUUAUGGCUUUAUUCUCCUAAAUUUUAAUUUUUUCUCCAUGUGAGUCUGCAGCAUCCUGCUUCCGAUCGGUAACUGUAGAGACGUUUUGGUGAGAAGCUGGUGUGCCUGAGCUAGGGUACUGACUCUCCACAGCCGUUCUAUGAGGCAGGAGCUGAUGCUGCAGGUGUUUGGCCCUCAAAAGAUGCUGAGAAGAGGUCUGAAGGAGUAAGAAGAUGUCUAUACUCAGACAAGUAUAGGCAAUGAAGCCAGGCCUAUCACCCAGGUUUCUUGUCCUAGUGAUCUUUGGGGCUCUUCCUCUAAAUCUUAUUGUUUCUUAUGUUUGUAUGUCAUUGUGAUUCUGAAAGGGCAAAGGAGCUUCUAAGUGUAAUGGUGCAUGUCUGUGACUGAGAGACUGAGCUAUUGAGUAACUAGUGUUUGAAGCUAGCCUGCACUACAGUGAGAAUGCCAGGAUACUCUAGUCUGUACCAUACAAACCUGUCU
This 1092-nucleotide long non-coding RNA is filed under the name Mus spicilegus (steppe mouse). RNAcentral describes it as "lncRNA (ENSMSIG00000024279.1)". Lineage: Eukaryota; Metazoa; Chordata; Mammalia; Rodentia; Muridae. The record is from RNAcentral.